UGGUUUGUAGGUCUUUUUUCGAAAAUAAGCCUUGCUUGUAGCAGGUUUAGAAGUAGUAGCUUCAGAGAAAGUAGAUUUAUCAAAGAGAAACCCUGAAGAAGGCAAGAGUGCUUUAGCUGUAGGCUUGGUGAUAUUGGUGUCAGUAGAAGCUCCAAAAUUCACUAUAAUACAAAACAUAGACUAAUAGGUCUGAGAUCAGACAUCUGAUUUGGGUGUAAUACCUUUGGAAGAAUACACAGCUGAGUGAAGGAAAGGAGCCUGUGGAAACAAAUUUCUGAAUUUCCAUGGUAACUUGAAGACCUAUGAUCUCCCAAUAUUUCUGAAAGAAAAGACCUGUCAUGCCAUCAGAGCAGGGUGCACUAGAAGGGUUUAUCGAGAAGACAGCCUGUUUAAUCUCUUCAGAAGAAACUGGACUUAUCAAAGACUCAUUCAUACUUGGAGAAACUUUAGGUUCAAAAUCAUGAAAAAGCCAGUCGAAAUUUCCAGGAGAAGAGGUUUUAAAUAAGUCUAUAAAGUAAGCUGUGGCAAUUUCACCUUUAGAAGCUUCUGAUUUUUUUAUUAUUGCCAUUGCAAUCUUUCAAAAUGUCUAUUCUCUUUUGUGUUCUGUUGGCUUAGACAGAAGCAUGGAAAAACUUCGUAUUAUGAGAUCCUUCUUGCAUCCAUUUUUCUCUACUUUUUUUACUCCAAUAUGAUUCUUCCUCUCUAUAAGCUUGAUUUAACUGAUUCUUGAGGUUAUUCAUUUGAAUUGUUGAAGGAAGAACUGAAGACUGCUCUUGUUCCAAAGCGAUCUGAAGCUGAGAGAGCCUGUCCUGAGAGUUUAAACAGUUUUUUCUUUUCCAUUUGCCGAGGGCUCUCCUGCAGUAUCUAAGCUUGUCAGAAACUGAAGAUAAAUGGGACGGAUAGGUAUUUGACGUCCAAGCAGUAGAUAUAGUUUCUUUCACAAGAUGUUUAUUUAAAAACCUUUUAUCAAAUCUGAAAUUGCCUCUGUAAACCUCAGUGGAAGACCUUUUCUCUUAUGCACUACAACUUUCUGAAGACCUUUAUCCUGUUCAACCUUUUUCAAAGAAGAGGAAAUAGGUGUACCUUGAAGUUUCUUCCUUGGUUUGUAGGUCUUUUUUCGAAAAUAAGCCUUGCUUGUAGCAGGUUUAGAAGUAGUAGCUUCAGAGAAAGUAGAUUUAUCAAAGAGAAACCCUGAAGAAGGCAAGAGUGCUUUAGCUGUAGGCUUGGUGAUAUUGGUGUCAGUAGAAGCUCCAAAAUUCACUAUAAUUCCUUUGCCUUUGUCAAUUUCAGGAGAUAUUGAUGGUAUGGAUUGAGAAAUAUUUCCUGGAAUAGGAGCAUGAAGAGAAGUCAGUGCCAAACAACCUAUCGAAGCUUUAGAUUGAGAAUCUUUGGUAAAGCGAUAAGAGACAGUGGAGUCAGCAAAAAAUUGACGAAGUUCUUCUAGAGCCAAAGAAUCAAUCCUAACACGAUCAGAAGUUUUGGUUUUCAAAGGAGCAGACUUAUCUGGGAGAGUUUCUUUCUCAGCUUCUUUUAAGGACUGUUGCUGUUGAAGAUACCAUGGGCAGUGAUCUCGUUCAUGGGUGAGCCUCUGACAGAAAUAACAUCGCUUUUGAAUCCUUUCAUAAUCAUAGAAGAUUGAAGUCUUCUCACCAGACGGUAAAUUGACAACUUGAAGAGGUUUUAACAAAGUCUUUGUUUUGAGCUUUAGUUUGAUGAAAUUCCAUGUCAAUAACCUGACCUGCUGAGG
Molecule: long non-coding RNA, 1747 nt
Filed under: Arabidopsis lyrata
Lineage: Eukaryota; Viridiplantae; Streptophyta; Magnoliopsida; Brassicales; Brassicaceae
Description: long non-coding RNA (ALYR_LNC000478)
Source: RNAcentral